GGCCAGGCACUACUCUGUCCCAACAAUAAGCCCUGUACAUUGGGAAAGGUGCCGAAGACAUGAACUUUGGUCUUCUCUGCAAUCCCUCUGGAGCAUUCAGUGACAACGUCGACUUUGAAGUUGCACUGACCUGGCCAGCCCUGCCACUUACCAGGUUGGGCUGUGGCUUGCCUUUUCACUUCUUGUGUCCUGUUUAAGAAAUAUCUGCUAUCCCAAGAUUGAGCCUCGUAUUUCAUAUCUGCCCCUGGCCUAAUGUUUGCUUACAGAAUGAGCUCAAUGAAUAUUGUUAAAUAACACUAACAAAGUUGACCUUAGAAUUGGAGUGCCCGGGUUAGAACCUUGCUGGUACCACCUGCUUACUGCAUGCUUCUGAUGUGAGUUCAGGAGAAGCCACUGGCAAGGACAGCAAAGAACAGGAGAACACUCUAGCUUCCCUGAUAGCAUUCAAGGUGCUGUCCAAACUGACUGUGAUGGCACCCUCCAGACAGACAGCGAUGCCACAUGUUCAAGAUGGCAGAAUCACUAACAGCUUCAAUUCCUGAAUGACUGCAGAGCAAAAUUUCUUACCCGCAACAUACACUCUAUUUUCAGCCUCCCUGGACUGUUACAUAAUGAUACAUAAAAAUAUUUCUUGUGUUGAGGCAUCCCAAAUUUGAUCUAUUUGUCAUCACAGUUUAUCCUACGAAUAUAUUUCUGAUCCAAAUAAUGCUAGAUUCAUGAGAGUUUAUAGUCCAGAGAUUUUUUUUUUUUUUUUUUUUUGAGACAGAAUCUCACUGUCUGCCAGGCUGGGGUGCAGUGGCAUAAUCUUAGCUCACUGCAACCUCCGCCUCCUGGGCUCAAGUGAUCCUCCCUCCUUAGCCUCCAUGAAUAGCUGGGACCACAGGUGUGCACCACCCCACCCAGCUAAUUAUUUUGUAUUUUUUGCAGAGACGGGGUUUCACCACAUUGCCCAAGCUGGUCUCAAACUCCUAGACUUAAGGGAUCUUCCCGCCUUGGCCUCCCAAAAUGCUGAAAUUACAUGUGUUAGCCAUAGUAAUAGUUCCUAGCCAUAGUCCAGAGAUAUUUUAAAAACUUUAGUGUGAGUUAUUUCUCUUUGCUAUAAUUCUCUCAUGCAUUUUGAAAACCUUUUCUGCCAUACAGUGGUUUUUGGGAAGUCCUUUUGGACAGACAUAUCACAGGAUGGAGAAACUAAAAA
This 1195-nucleotide long non-coding RNA is filed under the name Pongo abelii (Sumatran orangutan). Its description in RNAcentral is "lincRNA". Lineage: Eukaryota; Metazoa; Chordata; Mammalia; Primates; Hominidae. The record is from RNAcentral.